GGGAAGAUGGCCGAGUGGUCUAAGGCGCCACGUUCAGGUCGUGGUCCAGAAAUGGGCGUGGGUUCGAACCCCACUCUUCUCA
Molecule: transfer RNA, 82 nt
Filed under: Leucosporidium creatinivorum
Lineage: Eukaryota; Fungi; Basidiomycota; Microbotryomycetes; Leucosporidiales; Leucosporidiaceae
Description: Leucosporidiella creatinivora tRNA
Rfam family: tRNA
About the family: Transfer RNA (tRNA) molecules are approximately 80 nucleotides in length. Their secondary structure includes four short double-helical elements and three loops (D, anti-codon, and T loops).
Source: Rfam by way of RNAcentral